Molecule: ribosomal RNA, 252 nt
Filed under: uncultured bacterium
Lineage: Bacteria
Description: partial 16S ribosomal RNA
Rfam family: Bacterial small subunit ribosomal RNA
Source: RNAcentral
UACGGAGGAUCCGAGCGUUAUCCGGAUUUAUUGGGUUUAAAGGGAGCGUAGGUGGAUUGUUAAGUCAGUUGUGAAAGUUUGCGGCUCAACCGUAAAUUGCAGUUGAAACUGGCAGUCUUGAGUACAGUAGAGGUGGGCGGAAUUCGUGGUGUAGCGGUGAAAUGCUUAGAUAUCACGAAGAACUCCGAUUGCGAAGGCAGCUCACUGGACUGCAACUGACACUGAGGCUCGAAAGUGUGGGUAUCAAACAGG